AUUGAACGCUGGCGGCAUGCUUUACACAUGCAAGUCGAACGGAAACAGGCCGCAAGGUGCUGACGAGUGGCGAACGGGUGCGUAAUGCAUCGGAACGUGCCCAGUCCCGGGGGGUAACUACUCGAAAGAGUAGCUAAUACCUCAUACGAUCUAUGGAUGAAAGCGGGGGACCGUAACGCUUCGCGCGAUUGGUGCGGCCGAUGUCAGAUUAGGUAGUUGGUGGGGUAAAGGCUCACCAAGCCAACGAUCUGUAGCUGGUCUGAGAGGACGACCAGCCACACUGGGACUGAGACACGGCCCAGACUCCUACGGGAGGCAGCAGUGGGGAAUCUUGGACAAUGGGCGCAAGCCUGAUCCAGCAAUGCCGCGUGCAGGAUGAAGGCCUUCGGGUUGUAAACUGCUUUUGUACGGAACGAAACGGCUCUGGUUAAUACCCGGGGCUAAUGACGGUACCGAAAGAAUAAGCACCGGCUAACUACGUG
This 482-nucleotide ribosomal RNA is filed under the name uncultured bacterium. Its description in RNAcentral is "partial 16S ribosomal RNA". It matches the Rfam family "Bacterial small subunit ribosomal RNA", at positions 30 to 507 of the family's 1533-position model. The record is from RNAcentral.